AGAGCGCGACACGUGGAUGAUGCAUCAUCAACGGUCAAGAUUAGAUUGGUUUGAAAGGGUUAUUAAAUCCGGUUUAAGUGGAUGAUUCGAACCACCAUUUUUGAACCGGUCCUUUACCAAACAACUCAUUUGCAGGUUGCCCUCUCUCGCACGACGCGCUCAUCUCUCGCUGCUCACAGAGGAGAAACCCUAACGGUGGUUUCUUCUGCUGCUCCCGGUCAAGGUCGAAGCUCACGAAGGGGUUUUUCCCGUAGGCGAAAGGGAUUAGUUGUGGUUUCUUCUGCUGCUCCCGGUCAAGGUCGAAGCUCACGAAGGGGUUUUUCCUGUAGGCGAAAGGGAUUAGUUGUCUAGGGAUUAGUUGUCUCUCUAUCUUGCGAAGGGGAUUUUUUGCUAGGUUUGAGUCACUAUCGCGCCGAACUUUUUUCUGGGUUUGAUUCAUUCACUGUUAGUUUUUUUUUUUUUUUUUUUCCUGCUUGGUGUUGUUCUACAACAGAGGUUUCUUGCCACGAAGGGGUUUCUCUGCUCUGUCGCGGUCUCCUCCCCUCGUGAAGGUCUCUCUUCCUUCAGAGGUAUGUUUCCAGAUCUGAACAAGUAAUGUAGUGUUGUCAUCGUGUUGCGUCUCAGUUGUAAAUGUGGAUGCUAUUGAAUAUAUCAAUAUGGUUCAUAUUCCAGAUCUGAACAAGUAAA
Molecule: long non-coding RNA, 687 nt
Organism: Macadamia integrifolia
Lineage: Eukaryota; Viridiplantae; Streptophyta; Magnoliopsida; Proteales; Proteaceae
Exons: 2
Source: RefSeq, a predicted model, not a curated record